GAUGAACGCUGGCGGCGUGCCUAAUACAUGCAAGUCGAGCGAACAGACGAGGAGCUUGCUCCUCUGACGUUAGCGGCGGACGGGUGAGUAACACGUGGAUAACCUACCUAUAAGACUGGGAUAACUUCGGGAAACCGGAGCUAAUACCGGAUAAUAUAUUGAACCGCAUGGUUCAAUAGUGAAAGACGGUUUUGCUGUCACUUAUAGAUGGAUCCGCGCCGCAUUAGCUAGUUGGUAAGGUAACGGCUUACCAAGGCAACGAUGCGUAGCCGACCUGAGAGGGUGAUCGGCCACACUGGAACUGAAACACGGUCCAGACUCCUACGGGAGGCAGCAGUAUGGAAUCUUCCGCAAUGGGCGAAAGCCUGACGGAGCAACGCCGCGUGAGUGAUGAAGGUCUUCUGAUCGUAAAACUCUGUUAUUAGGGAAGAACAAAUGUGUAAGUAACUAUGCACGUAUUGACGGUACCUAAUCAGAAAGCCACGGCUAACUACGUG
Molecule: ribosomal RNA, 497 nt
Filed under: uncultured bacterium
Lineage: Bacteria
Description: partial 16S ribosomal RNA
Rfam family: Bacterial small subunit ribosomal RNA
Source: RNAcentral